AGUUCCCACGGGACGGCAGGGUCUGUGCGGGCAGGGGCCGGCGCACACGGCCAUCCUCACCAUGACGACUUCCCCCGGGAUCGGCGUGGGUAGCCGGUCUCGGAAUCUCACGUUCAAUUCCUUGACCGGCACUAGCAGCGCCAGGCUGAGCGCCGAGAUGGUCAGUUCAGCCGGACUGCUCCGGGGCAGCGCAGUCAGCACGCCGGCCAGCGUCUGCGGGCAGGGGCGGUGAGCAGAGGGCCCCGUGCCAGGGUUCGUGCGCCCCGGCGCGGGCCCCCAGGGCGAGGCCCUCUCUCCCAAGUGCCACCAGGGCUUCCACCUCCGCAGCGCCCUCGUUCAGCCACAGGGCUCCAACCUUUCCAGCGCCCUUGUCACACACUAUCCCUCCACCCUCCGUCCUUCCUCUUUUUUCGAGUUUCCCUAUUCCCGGGACAUUUAGAAGCCGCUUCUCUCUUCUCCCAACUUCACCUUGAAGAGAGAGAAGCAGCCGAUCUGGCGCGGGAGAGACAACCCCAAGAGGCUCGGCAGCUGGGACACCAGCACGUGCAGCGCGGCUCCGCUGGUCAGCGCCUUGACCACAGGCUCCGACAAAAAGGUGGACAGGACGCCUAGCUGCAGCGCGAACAUCCCCAGCUGCGGAGGGGGGGAAGACAUGCAGUCACCAACUAGAGAAGCAGACCAGCCCCGCGCCCCUCAGCCCUCCCGAAAACAAGCCGGAGGCUGGUCCCUCUCUCUCUCCCCCGGCGCAAUUUCCCCGGCCCCCCCAGCAGGGAUCCCCCCGGGUCCUCCCUCACCAUCAGCGCCCCGCUGCCGAAGGCCAUGGCCGCGGCUACCCCAAUCCGCUGAGCUUCCAGCUGCUCCCUCUCGAUUCCGCUCAGGUUCCCCACUAGGGGUUCUGGCACCAGCCGCUCGACAGCCGAGCCUGUCAUGAGGCUAAGUAUGGCGAAAGUUCCUACCACGGGGGACACAUGCAGACAUCACCAGCUGGGCAGCCCUGGGCAGGGCAACAACUCAGGCUCCACGCUCUGGGGCCGAGAUGCUGCUGCCAGACUCCGCUCUCCCGGAAGGCUGCUGCCCCGUCAAGACUGUGGGGCACGAAGAGCUGCACCAGUCGGCAAAAACUGCUCCCUCCGGCAGAUUCUCUGCCUAUGCCCCUCUUCUUCCCCUUCCGAGUCCCUGAGAUGUUCAUUUUAACCAAAUUUCACAGGGGGAAAAAGUUCAAGGAAGAGGAGUCAUUGGAAGUCCCUGGUCACUCACCUGUGGACAGGUGUCUCCCAGUACCCAGCAAGCUGUAGAUGAGGACGGGAAAGAAAGAAGUGUAGAGUCCAAACACCGGGGGCACGGAAGUCAGGAGGGCAAAAGCCAUGCCUGGGAUGGAAGUGGAAGGAAAGGCGUGCUGUGGGGAGGGGGCCUUGCCCAAGCUGCAGGACUCACCCCCUUCCCACACUCUUAGGGGCUGGCAUGAAGGAUGCUAAAUCAUGCCUCAAGAGGGAACUGAGGGGUUAAUGGGCCUCAGUGGGAGGUCAUGGGGUAGACGAGGUCAGAGAUCCUGUGGCCAAGUCCUGGGAGCCUGGCGUUUUGUGCCUCUCUCCAGUUCUCUAAGCCAGAACCUGUCCAAGACUUCUGGCAGGAUUGCAGGUAGAUGAGAGGAGGUGGAGGUGGGGAUCUGAUGGAGUUCACAGUCCUUAACCCAAACUUGGCCUCAGAUCCCUCUCUCCCACCUUCAGCGGCACGAACCCACCACCUGCUCCCAGAUUCUCAGCUCCCUACCCUCCUCCCGGAAGCCCUCUAGAGCUCCUGACAGGCUGGUGUUAGGGCCUCUCACCCUGGGGCACGUGCACGAUGCCCACGGUCACUCCAGCCACCGCAUCUCCGAGCAGCCAGGUUCGCCAGCGGUAAUGGGGCAGCCAGUGCAGCGGGGGCAGCAGAGCCAGCAGCAGGCGCCACGCCCCCGUCCUGGAACAGGAGCGAGCCCGCAGCCUCCACAGUCCGCAGACCCGGGGAAAGCGGCGCUCUGCAGGUCGCUCCGGCUCUAGCUCUUCGCUCCCGAAGAGCUGAUGGAACCGAGCCUCGGCCAGGCGUGGCUCCCGCCUGUAAUCCCAGCACUUUGGGAGGCCGAGGUGAGCAGAUCGCCUGAGGUCAGGAGUUCCAGACCAGCUUGACUAACAUGAAGUGGAGGUUGCAGUGACUGGACUCCAGCCUGGGCGACAGAGCAAGACUCCAUCUUAGCCAAACAACAACAAAAAAUGCUGUUCACAAAGUGGUCACUCAAAAGUACAUACAUGGUUAAACUAAGUGCAAAGGAGUCAGCCACCCACCUCAUGUAUCCCUAUGGUUCCUAAAGAAAUACAAAGGUUCUGAACUCCA
This is a long non-coding RNA of Cebus imitator (Panamanian white-faced capuchin), 2367 nucleotides long. RefSeq lists it as uncharacterized. The transcript is spliced from 4 exons. NCBI's taxonomy places the organism in Eukaryota, Metazoa, Chordata, Mammalia, Primates, Cebidae. The record is from RefSeq and is a predicted model, not a curated record.